UCGAGAAUAAUUCACAAUGGGGGCAACCCUGAUGGUGCAACGCCGCGUGGAGGAUAAGGUCUUCGGAUCGUAAACUCCUGUCAUCUGGGAGCUAGUACCAGAAGAGGAAGGGACGGCUAACUUCGUGCCAGCAGCCGCGGUAAUACGAAGGUCCCAAGCGUUGUUCGGAAUCACUGGGCGUAAAGGGAGCGUAGGCGGCGUGGUAAGUCAGAUGUGAAAUCCCAAGGCUCAACCUUGGAACUGCAUCCGAUACUGCCAUGCUAGAGGUUUGGAGAGGUAACUGGAAUUCUCGGUGUAGCAGUGAAAUGCGUAGAUAUCGAGAGGAACACUCGUGGCGAAAGCGAGUUACUGGACAACACCUGACGCUGAGGCUCGAAGGCUAGGGGAGCGAAAGGGAUUAGAUACCCGAGUAGU
Molecule: ribosomal RNA, 414 nt
Filed under: uncultured bacterium
Lineage: Bacteria
Description: bacterial SSU rRNA
Rfam family: Bacterial small subunit ribosomal RNA
Source: RNAcentral